CCCUUUCUUCACAAGUUUCAACUCUCUUCCAUCUCUCUCUCUCCCUCUCCCCAAGAAACUAUUUUCCAAUUUCUUGGCUUUUACAAAAUUUCAAUAAUUUGAAUUCCAAACAAAUCAUCAUGCCGAUGAAGAAAUCGAGCCUCUUUGCAGCCUUUGUUGCUGCUGCUACUGCUACUGCUACUGCCUUCUCUGCUUCCUCCUUAUCUUCUAGCUGUAACUCCAAUGUUAAGGAAGCUGGCUCAAACAAAGAUCAACAGAGAUCGGCUUCCAUGGAUAAAUUUGCACCAAGGUAUGAUGGGUUGAGGUUCAUUGAAACGCUGGUCACUGCUCACAGAUGAUGAGAGAAUCAACAUCUGGCCUUGAUAGCUCCAUGGAUGAUAAUGAUUAGUUCUACUAAUUUUAGCUAGCACCAAUCUUUUCUCUUUAAUUAAGAGAGAAAAGGAUGGUAUAAAGAAAGUUUGACCUUUUUUCUUUAGUUUCUUUGAGCGGAUCUGAUUAGGAGAACAUCUGUAAUGCUUGAGUUGAAAUUUUGUAAUGGUGUUUUCACUCAAAAAUUGCUUGUCCUGAUCAUAAUUCAUGGCUGAUUUUCUUUGUGCCAUCGAUUUUUCUGGGAUUAGAAAAUGAUUGCUUGCUAAAUUAGUCAUGUUCCAUUACUUAUCUUUUCACAGCAAUAUUUUGUACAAGGCAGGCAUCGUUAGGUUACGCGUGGAUGUCUGAUGGAUGACAUUGUUUUGUAGCUCUACAAGUCCAAGAUGUGGUUCCAUGGAAGUCCCAAAGGGGAAUUCCAAGUUAUGAACAAUUUUCUUUCAAGUAUGGGAACAAAAUACUUUGUCCUUAUUGACCUUGCUAAAUUAGAGUAUCUGAGAGCCAAAAAUCAAGUACUUCCAUGCUUGGAUGAAUUUGGAAGCUCAUUUGGGAUCAGCCAAGUUCAAUUGGCAUGUCGCUUGCAUCCAUUAUUUUGUUGUUCUUGAGUUGACAAGUAGGCCAACUAAAGCCCCAUUGGGUUUACUUCAAAAUUAGUUCUCUUGGAAUGACAUAGCCAAAUUCUUGAUUUUGCACC
This is a long non-coding RNA of Populus euphratica (Euphrates poplar), 1060 nucleotides long. RefSeq lists it as uncharacterized. The transcript has 2 exons. NCBI's taxonomy places the organism in Eukaryota, Viridiplantae, Streptophyta, Magnoliopsida, Malpighiales, Salicaceae. The record is from RefSeq and is a predicted model, not a curated record.